Cicer arietinum (chickpea) is the source of this 107-nucleotide non-coding RNA. Lineage: Eukaryota; Viridiplantae; Streptophyta; Magnoliopsida; Fabales; Fabaceae. The record is from Rfam.
AUCCCAUGAUGAAGACAUUUCAUAAGAAAAUCCUUAAGCAUUUCCCAAGCCUCAAAUAAAGUUUCAUCUUCAAUUUGCCUAAAAAGGGUGAUGUCAUUCCUCUUUUU